AUAGGUUGAGUAUGAACCUAGAGUCGGGAUCUAGGUGUGUGGCAUCUAACCUAGUGUUAAAGAACAUAGGUUGAGAACUGAACCUAGAGUUAAGGUAAACCUAGGUUGUGAAAUUGAGGCAUUAGACCUAGAGUCAGUUGGACCUAGGGUGGAAAGUGCAUUGGACCUAGAUAGGUCAAUAGUAUAGGGUUGGAUAUGGACCCUUGACUUGUGAAGUCGAUUCCGGAAUCCCAGUACUUGUGAACUCAAUAGUUCUUGGACCGCGGGUGUAUGCGGCGAUGUUCCUCUCCCACCGGAAAGAACUUUGAGGAUUAUGACUAAGCAAGAACAAAGAGCGCUAGGGUGUACGGCAUGUUCCUCUCCCUAUCGGGGAUCUUGGCUAUGGGUGUACGCGGCUAUGUUUCCUCUCCCACUAGCGGAUCCCUGACCACGGUGCACGGACCUUCGGGCGGACCGUUGGGCGAUGUGGUUCUUGGCUUGCAGGCUGAGGUGCAUGCGACAGGAUCCUUCACCUCGAGCCGGGCAGAGCGCGGAUUAUCCGCUGUUGAUUGACUCGAGGCCGAGUCGGGUGGCUAGCUGGAAUAAGGUAGAUAGAACCUUGAGGGCUAGUGGUAAAUGUGAUAACCUAAGGUAGUGGAAACCUUAGAGUUGGAUGACAUGAGCUAAGAUUAGCGAGAUUGAUUGUAGAAUCAAUAAUUCUACUAGUUGUUGCAUAUAUUCAUGUUGCAUAUAUUCCUGUUGCAUAUAGCAUGGCAUCGUUGCAGUUGUGAGGCAAAGCAAGGUAAAGUUAGUUGCAUGUUUAUGAUAUACAUAUCUAUCUGUUUAUUGGACUAACUUGUAUUUGCCUCCCUUGGACCUGUUGGUCGAGCUCCUCCCUUGGGUGGCCGUACCCACUGGGAACCAUGGAGUUGGUUCUCACCCCACGUUGUUUUGGAGUUUUACAGGUUCGCACGUGAGCGGCGCGGCGGCGCGAGGCAAGGGCGUAGCUCCAUAGAUAGCGCCCUACCCCCAGAGACCAGAGCUAGCAGUACCCCGUCGACGUAGCUUAGAGGUAUAGAAAAUGAAAGCAAGCAAAUGUAUCAAAUUGUAAUCAAUAAAUGUUGUAAUAACUUAAUUGCAUUUGGAGGUUGAAUGUGAUGUAAAAUGAAUCUAAUGUGAAUGGUUGUAAUAUCAUAGGAUGUGUUUAUGUUGAUUGAUACCUUCCUGAUGCAAUUCUGUUUGCUGAGUACUGUUCCUGGUUGGAACCUUUGUAUUGUACUUGUUGCGACGCCUAGGACGUACAGGGGAAACUCUGUCCGUUCGGCGGUCUGUCGGCGUGCCCGAACCGGACCAAAUUGGGAGCGGUCUCAGGGCGUGACAGAUAAAGUGGUAUCAGAGCAUAAAGUAGAGAAUGGGAAAUGGUUUAGCUGGACCUAGGAGACCUAGGAUAGUAAACCAUAGGAGAAUAAGGCUCGUGAGAGACGAGGACUUAUGAUUUGUGGCGAAAGAUUAAUGGAUUGGGUUGUGUCGUAAACCUCUAAGACGGAUAUUAGAGGUAGACUUGAGGUGUGGUUUACUCUCAGCCGAGGAUGUUCAUGUUGGCGUACGACAACAUGAAACCUAGUGAUGAGAAUAGAUGCCCUCGCGUGACUUUCGCCUGAUUGGCUUUUGAGCCGUUGUUAGUGUUCUCGUGUUCGACCCAAGUUGGUCGAGAACUAAUUGAGUUGUCGUGUUUCAGGGAGCGAUGGCACCGCGUAGGCGAUCCUCAUCCAGAUCGGCGCAGGAAGGGACAAGUGGUGUUCCUGAGCAAGCUGAGGCGAGCGGAGACCCGAUGCUCCGCGAGCAAGUGAAUACGCUCAUGGGCAUAGUGCAGCGACAGGAGGAGCAGAUCAAGGAGCUCCAUGAGUUGUUGACACGACAGCCUGCGGUGGCUGCGCCGGUAGCAGCGUGCCGUGUACCGACAGGAGUCGCGAUGGAUUCGGGGGCGAUGGCCCCUGGUUCUGUAGAAUUGGAGGCGGAGAAAGAACGGACUUUGGCGGCCCUAAUGACUUUCAAGAAAUUUGAUCCGCCUACUUUCGAUGGAGAGAAUGUCGACCCGUGGAUCGUGGAGAUGUGGAUUGACUCCAUGGAAACGCUCUUCGAGGAGCUAUACACCUUGGAGCGGGACAAGGUGCCCCUAGCUGUGCAUUGCUUGAAGCAAUCAGCAAAGGCGUGGUGGAAAGGCAUUCGACGGGAUCGAUCGCCUAGUCUUCCUCCUAUGGCGUGGGAUGAAUUUCGGGGAUUAAUGUUUUCUACGUACUUCCCCGACACUGAGAGGAGAAAGCUUCGGGACAAGUUCAGGAAGCUGCGGCAAGGAGACCGCUCUGUGAGGGAAUACGAACGGGAAUUCUCCCGUAUCGUGAAUUGUGUCCCGGAUGUGGUACGGGAUGACAAGGAUAAGGCCGAUUGGUUCCUGCGUGGACUUCGACCGGAGAUUUAUAGGAGGGUGCAAAUCUUCCAGCUCACAACCUUUGCGAAGGUGUUGGACCGAGCAUUGUGGGCAGAGCAUGGCGAGGCUUUCGUGCGUGAGGAGCGCGAAUCUCGUAGGCAUGAGCGAGGAGGGGCGAGGCCAUUAUCGAGUGGUUCGGGUGGUCAGUCGAGUUCCAGACACCGCUCGAGGUCGUCCUCUACCCGAUCCUCCUCCGGAUGUGUGAUUUGUGGCGGUUCCCACCAGGCGCGGCGAUGUGCGCUGCGUGAUGGACGGUGUAUCCGUUGUGGACAGCCAGGCCAUAUGCGGGACGAGUGCCCGCGAGGUGAGAGUCAGGCCUUGAGGCCAGCGACGGCCCAUUCCUCUCUGGGACAGCCUGCAGGUGUGCCACCUGCGGCAUGGUCGGGGGAGCGGCCGUUGAGGACGAUGCAACCGGAGGGUUCGCGGCGAGCACCAAGUGGCCAGGGAUAUGCGACCCAGGUUGAUGAACCUGCUGCCAUCGAUGAUGCCGUUGCAGGUAUGAGUUAAUUACAUAAGCAUAUGCUUUUGCGUAAUCUCAAAUUGAUGCAUUGCAUGCAUUUAUCAUAUGAUCAGCACCUACUAAUUACAUACUGCAUAGUAGGGACCGAAUGGACGGGUAGGUAAGCACCCGAGCAUGCUUGCAUCGUAAGAGUGUAGCACCUGCGGGAGCAGGUAGAAAGCCAAGUAGUACUAGCAAAUCGCUAGCGAUGGUUCUUGGACGAAGAAUGGGACUCGUGGUGAACGUGAAAUGGUGGAGCGACUCUCAAGGCAAUGAGUAUCGAAUUGCGAGAGUUGCGCCGUGACGUUGCGAAUACCCGAGUGGCCUGAGCAUCUCGGAUAUUAUUUCGGUAGAUCGAACAGUGAGAGUAGAAUCACUGUUGAGAGAGCGGUUGGUUGAGGCCAAGUUUGGCCUGUGGGCCUAGUAGUACCUCGAAUUGAGGCGGACGAGUUGUUGCUCGUGUGGCCGGUGCGCAUGGGCUAAGCUCCCUGAUGCUGGACUUCGUGUGAGACGUUGUAGAGGCAUAGAGCGCUCGAGUAUAGAUACUCGUGAAGUGCGGUUUUGAUUCAGCCGGUCGAGUGAAUUGGCAGUAGCACUUCAGCAGGGCUAAGUGUGAAGCGGGCCAUGGAUCACUCGUGAGGGCUGGUGGCUCGCACUAGGUACUUAGGAGCCGGUAGAGUGUGUAGCUCUGCAGAGCAUGUCGUGUAGGACGACGUUGGCGGGUAGUGCUUGGGGACGAUCCGUGCCUGGACCAUUUGUGGACUGUGGAGCCUGGGCCCAUUGGGCAGGCGCAGUCAGCUGCGAGAGGCAGCGGCCCGGUACCUACGGGUAGGACAGAGAUUGGUCAGGACGGUAGUCCAAGCUUGGACCCGAGUACGUGGAAUGCCACGUGUUAGAUCGUGAGAUUGAGGACACACCGAGUGUGUGGUGACCCAACCCGAGGACAUGAUGUGGUUUGGGGUCUUGGUUGCUCCUGGUUGGAGUGUGUGCGAAUUCUCCAAUGAGAAUGUCGCCUGAUGAUGAUUAGGUCUACGAUGCGAGCGAGGGACGCUAUGCGUAGUUGCGACGGGUUUAGGCAGUAGGCCUACGUGGUGUUGGUGACCGUUGGUCCACCUGUGGAAGUCGACGUAAUCGGUUUAGCCGAUAACUCCAUGGAGGAGUUGGUGCAAGGGAAGUGAAUUCUCAAAAUGCAAGAGUUGGACUUCACUCAAAAUCGACUAAUUGUCGAGUGGGAGUGCUUCGUAAAAGCCGAGGAAGUCGAAUGCACCGAAAGUGCAUUGCAAUGGAGUCCGCGAGAGCAAAUAGUGCAAAAAUUUGCACUUGGCAAACUUGCUCUCGGGGACCGGUCCCUGGCGGGAGGGACCGGUUCCCGAACGUUGUCUACGCGAGCUUGCUCUCGGGGACCGGUCCCAGGAGGGAGGGACCGGUUGCCCCGAGGCUGAGGGCUAUGGCAAGCACGAGGCAACCGGUCCCUAGGCCAGAGGGACCGGUUCCCAAACAUGUGAGACUGGGGAUGUCCCUCUGGGACCGGUCCCAGGCAGGGAGAGACCGGUCCCCGAGCUUGAAACUUGCCAAGGCAGGCUGGGUCAUGUUGGGAAAAACUUGGAAAACUUGGAGAUAACGCUCUUUCGCGGAUUGAAGUUCGAGAGAUGUGCCGCGGUAGGCCAUCUCGUGGUUGAGCGAUUUGAGAUUAGAAGUGGCAAUUGAGAGAUAAAGGAAAGUGGUCUCUUGGAGACACUUGAAUACCGAAUAGCCACAUGGAGUUGUGGACAAUGCUCUCUUGUGAAUUAAGAAUCGAGAUAUGCCGGGGUAGGCCAUCUCGCGGUAGAGCAAAGUCCAAAUGUGAUUGGAGCACUCGCGAUGGGUCGAUGCACCAAUGAUAUUGCUUCUAAGCAAUGCUGGUGAUCGAAGCGGGGUGUGUUCUCUAACGGGAUGAAAAAUGCAAGGAAAGUUCUUGCAUGCCAAGUGGUGAAUGAUGUUGUAGCGCGUAGAGUCGUUGAGUUUCGACUUGCGCUACCACAAGAAUGGCGGAGACCCGUAAUGCACCUUCGGAGAUAUACAUAGCAAAUGCGAGCAUAUCUAGUCUCACAUCCUCUGAGAUGGGCCUUAGACAGUUCCAAUGAGCAUAAGGCCACUCCAAAGCAGAAAAGUGCAUUAUACCCUUGUUACUCGAUAAGUAGAGUCGGGGUAUGAGUUGGAGUUGGAAUUAUUUGAGUUUCGAGGACGAAACUCUUAUUAAGGAGGGGAGGAUGUAAGGUACCGGACUUCUAAAAUCAUGAAGUUAUGGUUUAUAUGAGGUUAGAAGGCCAUUGGAAUGGUUCUGGUGAAGUUCGGUGAGGUUCGGGAGCAAUCGAGCGUUUCGGUGAGCAUAGGCGCGAAAACGAAACCCGAAAGGCCAACUUGGGCCGUGAGCUAAAUCCGGCAUUAGCGUGGAUGGAAAGAUGAUGAAAACAUGUUUGAAAACAUGUUUGGAGAGUCUCGGUUCGAUUUGAGACGAAUCGGAGGUCAAACGAACGAAAACGGGCGAAAACGGAGCGAAAACGGACGAAGCUGAAAAUUGGCUAAGUCUGGGCUGGAGGUCUCUCUGGGACCGGUCCCAGGUAGAGAGACCGGUCUCCCAGAGACCGGUCCCUCAUGUAGAGACCGGUUCCCGAACCCCGAAAAUGCCCAGUUCGGGCUGUUGCAAGAAGAGGCUUGUUGAGGGGCUUAAGUGCAAUUUUGCACUUAUUAGAGUGUAUAGAAGUGGGUUUUAGCCCAUUUCUCUCUUCUCCCUCACCCAAACACCACCUCUCUCUCUCUCUAAACGUGAAGAAGAAAGGGAAAAGAAGAGAAGAAAGGAAGGAGAAUGAAGAAGGAGGAGAAGAGAAUCAUCACCACCAUCAUCAUCUUCUUCUUCCUCUCAACCUUGGAGCAAACCUAGAGAGGUAAGCUUCUAGGGCUCUAAUGGUAACUUCUUAGGGUUUGGUUAAUACACUCUAAGAAUGGUUUAGAUGGAAUUCUAGCAUGCUUAUGAGUAGAUUAAUGCAUGAAUCGGAGAUCGAUUUGGGGUAUUUUGCCGUAGUCGCUUAGCCGGAGGGCGCCGUGAGCCGUGGGCAAACCCGGGCUAGAGUGUCAAUGAGAGAUUCUCGCGCAGCGAAACGGCAAAGUUCACGAUUGCUAGAAGCGGAGCGGCAAUGCUACGAGCCCUGGGUUAAAGUGCUAAAUACCUGCAGCGAAGCCGGGAGGUCCGCCUUUGCUUCGAGGUUCGCAGGCAAAGAAGUUAUAGAAACAUUGCCGAGCAGCCUAACCGCUUGGCAGAAGCGGUUGCACAAAGCAAUGGAUAGUUAAUCCAAAUGUCUCCCAAUAAAUUCUAGUUUGGGUAGAUAAAUGUUUUUAGGGUAAAAACUCGGGAUCAAANNNNNNNNNNNNNNAAUGCAAGAUGAUGCAUGUAGUUGAUACUAAAUAUAUGUAUGUGAUAUCUAUAGUACUCGAUAUGACAAUAGGACGUCAAGUAGAUUGAGUGGCAUUAACCUAGUGUUAGUAAACAUAGGUCGGACAUAGAUGACAUUGAACCUAGUGUUGUUGAACCUAGGAUAAAUAACGAGUGGCAUCUAACCUAGUGUUAAAGAACAUAGGUUGAGUAUGAACCUAGAGUCGGGAUCUAGGUGUGUGGCAUCUAACCUAGUGUUAAAGAACGUAGGUUGAGAACUGAACCUAGAGUUAAGGUAAACCUAGGUUGUGAAACUGAGGCAUUAGACCUAGAGUCAGUUCGACCUAGGGUGGAAAGUGCAUUGGACCUAGAUAGGUCAAUAGUAUAGGGUUGGAUAUGGACCCUUGACUUGUGAAGUCGAUUCCGGAAUCUCAGUACUUGUGAACUCAAUAGUUCUUGGACCGCGGGUGUAUGCGGCGAUGUUCCUCUCCCACCGGAAAGAACUUUGAGGAUUAUGACUAAGCAAGAACAAAGAGCGCUAGGGUGGAUGCGGUAUAUUCCUCUCCCUAUCGGGGGUCUCGGCUAUGGGUGUACGCGGCUAUGUUUUCUCUCCCACUGGCGGAUCCCUGACCACGGUGCACGGACCUUCGGGCGGACCGUUGGGCGAUGUGGUUCUUGGCUUGCAGGCUGAGGUGCAUGCGACAGGAUCCUUCACCUCGAGCCGGGCAGAGCGCGGAUUAUCCGCUGUUGAUUGACUCGAGGCCGAGUCGGGUGGCUAGCUGGAAUAAGGUAGAUAGAACCUUGAGGGCUAGUGGUAAAUGUGAUAACCUAAGGUAGUAGAACCUUAGAGUUGGAUGACAUAAGCUAAGGUUAGC
This 7250-nucleotide long non-coding RNA is filed under the name Ananas comosus (pineapple). RNAcentral's name for it is "long non-coding RNA (ACOM_LNC026028)". The record is from RNAcentral. Lineage: Eukaryota; Viridiplantae; Streptophyta; Magnoliopsida; Poales; Bromeliaceae.